Molecule: ribosomal RNA, 500 nt
Filed under: uncultured Glomeromycotina
Lineage: Eukaryota; Fungi; Glomeromycota
Description: partial small subunit ribosomal RNA
Rfam family: Eukaryotic small subunit ribosomal RNA
Source: RNAcentral
CCAAUAGCGUAUAUUAAAGUUGUUGCAGUUAAAAAGCUCGUAGUUGAAUUUCGGGAUCAGUAGGUUGGUCGUGCCACUGGUAUGCACUGGCCUCACUGAUUCCUCCUUCUUGUAGAACCGUAAUGCCAUUAAGUUGGUGUUGCGGGGAAACAGGACUGUUACUUUGAAAAAAUUAGAGUGUUUAAAGCAGGCUAACGCUUGAAUACAUUAGCAUGGAAUAAUGAAAUAGGACGUUCGAUCCUAUUUUGUUGGUUUCUAGGAUUGACGUAAUGAUUAAUAGGGAUAGUUGGGGGCAUUAGUAUUCAAUUGUCAGAGGUGAAAUUCUUGGAUUUAUUGAAGACUAACUACUGCGAAAGCAUUUGCCAAGGAUGUUUUCAUUAAUCAAGAACGAAAGUUAGGGGAUCGAAGACGAUCAGAUACCGUCGUAGUCUUAACCAUAAACUAUGCCGACUAGGGAUCGGAUGAUGUUAAUUUUUUAAUGACUCAUUCGGCGCCUUACG